Molecule: long non-coding RNA, 394 nt
Filed under: Zostera marina
Lineage: Eukaryota; Viridiplantae; Streptophyta; Magnoliopsida; Alismatales; Zosteraceae
Description: long non-coding RNA (ZMAR_LNC000298)
Source: RNAcentral
CGCCAAAAGAUCUUCUAUAUAUAGUCUCUUUCCACUUCACUCAUCUUCACUUCUCUCUUUUUUUUCAGUAGGGUUUCUCUUCCGCUAAUCGCCGCAUCCUCUCCCAUGGCCGAUCUCUCUACCUUCCUAGACGAUAUUCCCGAUUUCAACGGUAACUCUCUAAACUCCUCUGAAGAUCCUCCCUCCGUACUUAGUAGGCGGCAAGCCCGCCGUCAUUUCCAGGUGAUCGCUCCCUCUGUAGCGAUAGCUCAUCUUGAAAUCCCCAAUGAUGCUUCUGCCUCUUCGCCUCCUGAUGGCUAUACUGCCCUCUAUUCGGGUUUUGAGGACUUAGGGCUUCGGCUUCCCGCCUCUCCCUUCCUCUUGUCUUUUCUUUCGUAUACUGGUGUUGCUAUUU